RNAcentral lists this transfer-messenger RNA (349 nucleotides) under Pseudomonadota bacterium. It matches the Rfam family "transfer-messenger RNA". From Rfam's summary of the family: Bacterial tmRNA, also known as 10Sa RNA or SsrA, is named for its dual tRNA and mRNA-like properties. Its role is to liberate the mRNA from a stalled ribosome. To accomplish this part of the tmRNA is used as a reading frame that ends in a translation stop signal. Lineage: Bacteria; Pseudomonadati; Pseudomonadota. RNAcentral also lists the same sequence under 1 other name. The record is from RNAcentral.
GGGGGCGAAAGGUUUCGACUGGGCAGGAAGAAGCAGGGCUGCGGGCCGAGGUCCCAGGGUCCUCGCAAAUCAACCUGGAAGGCGAACAAACGCCAACAAGCCCGUUCUCGCCGCGGCCUAAUCCCCGCGGCCGCCUUCCGGGUCUCGCCGGCGGAUCCGGGUAAGGCGUCACCGGCCGGCUGCGCUGGGCCGCUCCGCCCUCGGCGGCACGGCUAAGACAGAGGGGGCUGGUGCCGCGGCGAUCCCGCCUGCGGGAGCGCACGGCGCGAGACGAGAACGCAGGCUAGGCUCGUAGACGCUCUGCCCUCACCUGCUCAGGACGCGGGUUCGAUUCCCGCCGCCUCCACCA